RNAcentral lists this ribosomal RNA (486 nucleotides) under uncultured Ralstonia sp. Its description in RNAcentral is "bacterial SSU rRNA". It matches the Rfam family "Bacterial small subunit ribosomal RNA", at positions 31 to 507 of the family's 1533-position model. Lineage: Bacteria; Pseudomonadati; Pseudomonadota; Betaproteobacteria; Burkholderiales; Burkholderiaceae. The record is from RNAcentral.
GAACGCUGGCGGCAUGCCUUACACAUGCAAGUCGAACGGCAGCAUGAUCUAGCUUGCUAGAUUGAUGGCGAGUGGCGAACGGGUGAGUAAUACAUCGGAACGUGCCCUGUAUGGGGGAUAACUAGUCGAAAGAUUAGCUAAUACCGCAUACGACCUGAGGGUGAAAGUGGGGGACCGCAAGGCCUCAUGCUAUAGGAGCGGCCGAUGUCUGAUUAGCUAGUUGGUGAGGUAAAGGCUCACCAAGGCGACGAUCAGUAGCUGGUCUGAGAGGACGAUCAGCCACACUGGGACUGAGACACGGCCCAGACUCCUACGGGAGGCAGCAGUGGGGAAUUUUGGACAAUAGGGGCAACCCUGAUCCAGCAAUGCCGCGUGUGUGAAGAAGGCCUUCGGGUUGUAAAGCACUUUUGUCCGGAAAGAAAUCGCACUUACUAAUAUUAGGUGUGGAUGACGGUACCGGAAGAAUAAGGACCGGCUAACUACGUG